RNAcentral lists this transfer RNA (72 nucleotides) under Ictidomys tridecemlineatus (thirteen-lined ground squirrel). RNAcentral describes it as "Spermophilus tridecemlineatus (thirteen-lined ground squirrel) tRNA". It matches the Rfam family "tRNA". Rfam says of the family: Transfer RNA (tRNA) molecules are approximately 80 nucleotides in length. Their secondary structure includes four short double-helical elements and three loops (D, anti-codon, and T loops). The record is from Rfam by way of RNAcentral. Lineage: Eukaryota; Metazoa; Chordata; Mammalia; Rodentia; Sciuridae.
GGGGUUGUAGCUCAGUGGUAGAGAGUGCUUGCCUUUUAAGCGUGAGGCCCUGGAGUUCGAUCCUCAGCACCA